AGAGUUUGAUCAUGGCUCAGAGCGAACGCUGGCGGCAGGCCUAACACAUGCAAGUCGAACGGUCUUUCGGGACAGUGGCGGACGGGUGAGUAACACGUGGGAACGUACCUUUUGGUUCGGAAUAGCUCCUGGAAACGGGUGGUAAUACCGGAUGUGCCCUUAGGGGGAAAGAUUUAUCGCCAUUAGAGCGGCCCGCGUCUGAUUAGCUAGUUGGUGGGGUAAAGGCCCACCAAGGCUUCGAUCAGUAGCUGGUUUGAGAGGAUGAUCAGCCACACUGGGACUGAGACACGGCCCAGACUCCUACGGGAGGCAGCAGUGGGGAAUCUUGCGCAAUGGGCGAAAGCCUGACGCAGCCAUGCCGCGUGAAUGAUGAAGGUCUUAGGAUUGUAAAAUUCUUUCAGUAGGGACGAUAAUGACGGUACCUACAGAAGAAGCCCCGGCUAACUUCGUGCCAGCCGCCGCGGUAAUUC
This 470-nucleotide ribosomal RNA is filed under the name uncultured bacterium. RNAcentral describes it as "bacterial SSU rRNA". It matches the Rfam family "Bacterial small subunit ribosomal RNA", at positions 8 to 526 of the family's 1533-position model. The record is from RNAcentral.